GGGGGCGCAUUGGUUUCGACGGGGAUGCUGGAAGCCAUGGUUGCAGGUCGAGGCGCCGCUGGCCUCGUAAAAAGCGGCAACAAAGUAAUUGCCAACAACGAUUACGAAUACGCCUACGCUGCGUAAGCGGCGGGGCACCCUGACGGCUUAGACCGUCACGCCGAAGCGGCCGACGCCCGAUACGUCGCCGAGGCGCCAAUCCAUCGGGCUGGCGUACGUCUGUUCCUUCCGGGGCGUGCGUGAGACUCUACGGCGGGAUAACCGACGGAUGCCCGUCUGCGGGCGAGUCCUGAGGCGAAAAGCCAUACGCAGACUAUACCUGUAGAGGCCUUGCGUGGACCUUUCUCGGACGGGAGUUCGACUCUCCCCGCCUCCACCA
This 379-nucleotide transfer-messenger RNA is filed under the name Desulfovibrionaceae. RNAcentral describes it as "Mailhella massiliensis_A Standard tmRNA". It matches the Rfam family "transfer-messenger RNA". From Rfam's summary of the family: Bacterial tmRNA, also known as 10Sa RNA or SsrA, is named for its dual tRNA and mRNA-like properties. Lineage: Bacteria; Pseudomonadati; Thermodesulfobacteriota; Desulfovibrionia; Desulfovibrionales. RNAcentral also lists the same sequence under 2 other names. The record is from RNAcentral.